AGCAGCCGCGGUAAUUCCAGCUCCAAUAGCGUAUAUUAAAGUUGUUGCAGUUAAAAAGCUCGUAGUUGAAUUUCGGGAUUGGCGCAUCGGUCGUGCCUCACGGGGUAUGAACUGGUGCAGUCAAUUUCUCACCUUCUGGAGAACCGCGAUGUCCUUAAUUGGAUGCCGCGGGGAACCAGGACCUUUACUUUGAAAAAUUAGAGUGUUUAAAGCAGGCAUUUUUGCUUGAAUACAUUAGCAUGGAAUAAUAAAAUAGGACGGCAUGGUUCUAUUUUGUUGGUUUCUAGGGCCACCGUAAUGAUUAAUAGGGAUAGUUGGGGGCAUUAGUAUUCAAUUGUCAGAGGUGAAAUUCUUGGAUUUAUUGAAGACUAACUACUGCGAAAGCAUUUGCCAAGGAUGUUUUCAUUAAUCAAGAACGAAAGUUAGGGGAUCGAAGACGAUCAGAUACCGUCGUAGUCUUAACCAUAAACUAUGCCGACUAGGAAUCAGACGAUGUUAAUUUUUAAUGACUCGUUUGGCU
RNAcentral lists this unclassified non-coding RNA (520 nucleotides) under uncultured Entrophospora. Its description in RNAcentral is "SSU rRNA". It matches the Rfam family "Eukaryotic small subunit ribosomal RNA", at positions 569 to 1085 of the family's 1831-position model. The record is from RNAcentral. Lineage: Eukaryota; Fungi; Glomeromycota; Glomeromycetes; Entrophosporales; Entrophosporaceae.